This 72-nucleotide transfer RNA is filed under the name Bos taurus (domestic cattle). It matches the Rfam family "tRNA". Rfam says of the family: Transfer RNA (tRNA) molecules are approximately 80 nucleotides in length. Their secondary structure includes four short double-helical elements and three loops (D, anti-codon, and T loops). Lineage: Eukaryota; Metazoa; Chordata; Mammalia; Artiodactyla; Bovidae. The record is from Rfam by way of RNAcentral. RNAcentral also lists the same sequence under 2 other names.
UCCCUGGUGGCCCAGUGGUUGGGACUUUGCCUUCCAAGGCAGAGGGUGCAGGUUAGACUCCUGAUCAGGGAG